This 497-nucleotide ribosomal RNA is filed under the name uncultured bacterium. RNAcentral describes it as "partial 16S ribosomal RNA". It matches the Rfam family "Bacterial small subunit ribosomal RNA", at positions 28 to 507 of the family's 1533-position model. The record is from RNAcentral.
GAUGAACGCUGGCGGCGUGCCUAAUACAUGCAAGUCGAGCGAACAGACGAGGAGCUUGCUCCUCUGACGUUAGCGGCGGACGGGUGAGUAACACGUGGAUAACCUACCUAUAAGACUGGGAUAACUUCGGGAAACCGGAGCUAAUACCGGAUAAUAUAUUGAACCGCAUGGUUCAAUAGUGAAGGACGGUUUUGCUGUCACUUAUAGAUGGAUCCGCGCCGCAUUAGCUAGUUGGUAAGGUAACGGCUUACCAAGGCGACGAUGCGUAGCCGACCUGAGAGGGUGAUCGGCCACACUGGAACUGAGACACGGUCCAGACUCCUACGGGAGGCAGCAGUAGGGAAUCUUCCGCAAUGGGCGAAAGCCUGACGGAGCAACGCCGCGUGAGUGAUGAAGGUCUUCGGAUCGUAAAACUCUGUUAUUAGGGAAGAACAAAUGUGUAAGUAACUAUGCACGCCUUGACGGUACCUAAUCAGAAAGCCACGGCUAACUACGUG